Molecule: ribosomal RNA, 253 nt
Filed under: uncultured bacterium
Lineage: Bacteria
Description: partial 16S ribosomal RNA
Rfam family: Bacterial small subunit ribosomal RNA
Source: RNAcentral
UACGGGGGGGGCAAGCGUUGUUCGGAAUUACUGGGCGUAAAGGGCUCGUAGGUGGCCAACUAAGUCAGACGUGAAAUCCCUCGGCUUAACCGGGGAACUGCGUCUGAUACUGGAUGGCUAGAGAUUGGGAGAGGGAUGCGGAAUUCCAGGUGUAGCGGUGAAAUGCGUAGAUAUCUGGAGGAACACCGGUGGCGAAGGCGGCGUCCUGGACCAACACUGACACUGAUGAGCGAAAGCCAGGGGAGCAAACGGG